UCCUCCCCUUCUCCCCUCUCUCUACCCAUCUCUCCUUAUAUCCACCCCCUCCCCGUGCACCCAAGUUUUGCAUGGAAAUCCUGUCUACUUAAAAAUAUGGAACGGUUCAUGAAUUUGCGUGCCAUCCUUGCGCAGGGGCCAUACUAAUCUUCUCUGUAUCGUUCCAGUUUUAGUACAUGUGCUGCCGAAGCGAGCACAGGAAACUUUCUUUUUGCAACAGACUUAAACCAUUAUAGAAAACCACAGCCAAUAAAAACGCUGAACUGUGAAGUCCAGUCCUGAUGGAUACCUCUACACAACACUCUCUCCUGCAUCUAAUGUUCAGGGAACCCUGCAGAAGAGGGGCAGAGAGAGCCAGAGGACUGGGGAGUCUGUUGUGUGAUUGUGUCCCCUAGCAACACCAGAAGCUGUACCCAUAAAGUCUCACCCACACGACUGCCCACAGGUCUAAGCUAGCCAGGCGGCCGGGAAAAACAAGCGGCUUCCCUACUACAGGCCAAACUCAAAGGUGGAAGCCCAUGAGGUCUCGACCUACACAAAGAUCUACAAGUCACUGAGGAAAACUGGGAGUGGAAGUAGUGACCCUCCUCAGGGACGUCAGUGAUGGAGAGCAAAGCAACCAGCUGUGCACAACCAGGAGCUGCUGCAGGAUUCUUCAGUGUACGCAGCAACUGCUGGAUUCCCUUACAUCUGUUCAGAGGAAUCAUGCAUCUCUUACGUGCAUACACAUCAUAUGUGACACACAUGGCACACAUGAAUUCAGCUCAAGAAGAUCUACCAUUUUGAUAUUUUUCAAGAAUAUAGAUGAUUUGCAUGAAGGUACUAUAUGGCUAUGGUUUCAAAUGCAAUUUUUGGGUUAAAUUCUUGGGGGUAAAUUAUUCAUUAAAGAAUGAUUAAUCCACUG
Non-coding RNA from Myodes glareolus (Bank vole), 904 nucleotides. The record is from RefSeq and is a predicted model, not a curated record. NCBI's taxonomy places the organism in Eukaryota, Metazoa, Chordata, Mammalia, Rodentia, Cricetidae.